UACGUAGGGGGCAAGCGUUGUCCGGAUUUAUUGGGCGUAAAGAGCGUGUAGGCGGCCAGACAAGUCUGCUGUGAAAACUCGAGGCUCAACCUCGAGCUGUCGGUGGAAACUGUCUGGCUAGAGUCCGGAAGAGGAGAGUGGAAUUCCUGGUGUAGCGGUGGAAUGCGCAGAUAUCAGGAAGAACACCCGUGGCGAAGGCGGCUCUCUGGGACGGUACUGACGCUGAGACGCGAAAGCGUGGGGAGCGAACAGG
RNAcentral lists this ribosomal RNA (253 nucleotides) under uncultured bacterium. RNAcentral's name for it is "partial 16S ribosomal RNA". It matches the Rfam family "Bacterial small subunit ribosomal RNA", at positions 524 to 776 of the family's 1533-position model. The record is from RNAcentral.